AUUGAACGCUGGCGGAAUGCUUUACACAUGCAAGUCGAACGGCAGCACGGGGCAACCUGGUGGCGAGUGGCGAACGGGUGAGUAAUACAUCGGAACGUGCCCAAUCGUGGGGAUAACGUAGCGAAAGUUACGCUAAUACCGCAUACGAUCUACGGAUGAAAGCGGGGGAUCGCAAGACCUCGCGCGAAUGGAGCGGCCGAUGUCAGAUUAGGUAGUUGGUGGGGUAAAGGCUCACCAAGCCGACGAUCUGUAGCUGGUCUGAGAGGACGACCAGCCACACUGGGACUGAGACACGGCCCAGACUCCUACGGGAGGCAGCAGUGGGGAAUUUUGGACAAUGGGCGCAAGCCUGACCCAGCCAUUCCGCGUGCAGGAUGAAGGCC
This 383-nucleotide ribosomal RNA is filed under the name uncultured bacterium. RNAcentral's name for it is "bacterial SSU rRNA". It matches the Rfam family "Bacterial small subunit ribosomal RNA", at positions 29 to 416 of the family's 1533-position model. The record is from RNAcentral.